Molecule: ribosomal RNA, 390 nt
Filed under: uncultured bacterium
Lineage: Bacteria
Description: bacterial SSU rRNA
Rfam family: Bacterial small subunit ribosomal RNA
Source: RNAcentral
AUUGAACGCUGGCGGCAUGCCUUACACAUGCAAGUCGAACGGCAGCACGGGAGCUUGCUCCUGGUGGCGAGUGGCGAACGGGUGAGUAAUACAUCGGAACGUACCCUGAAGUGGGGGAUAACGUAGCGAAAGUUACGCUAAUACCGCAUAUUCUGUGAGCAGGAAAGAGGGGGAGUCGCAAGACCUCUUGCUUUAGGAGCGGCCGAUGUCGGAUUAGCUAGUUGGUGAGGUAAAGGCUCACCAAGGCGACGAUCCGUAGCGGGUCUGAGAGGAUGAUCCGCCACACUGGGACUGAGACACGGCCCAGACUCCUACGGGAGGCAGCAGUGGGGAAUUUUGGACAAUGGGCGCAAGCCUGAUCCAGCCAUGCCGCGUGAGUGAAGAAGGCCU